CCCUUAGACGUUCUGGGCCGCACGCGCGCUACACUGACGAAGGCAACGAGCUUUCCUUUACCGAAAGGUACGGGUAAUCUUUUGAAACUUCGUCGUGCUGGGGAUAGAUCCUUGCAAUUAUUGAACUUAAACGAGGAAUUCCUAGUAAGCGCAAGUCAUCAACUUGCGUUGAUUACGUCCCUGCCCUUUGUACACACCGCCCGUCGCUACUACCGAUUGAAUGGUUUAGUGAGGCCUUCGGAUCCGCGACUCGUUUUGUGGAGAAGUUGGACAAACUCAGUCAUUUAGAGGAAGUAAAAGUCGUAACA
RNAcentral lists this ribosomal RNA (308 nucleotides) under uncultured eukaryote. RNAcentral describes it as "partial 18S ribosomal RNA". It matches the Rfam family "Eukaryotic small subunit ribosomal RNA", at positions 1470 to 1796 of the family's 1831-position model. The record is from RNAcentral.